GAGCGGAGAUGAGGUGCUUGCACCUUAUCUUAGCGGCGGACGGGUGAGUAAUGCUUAGGAAUCUACCUAUUAGUGGGGGACAACGUUUCGAAAGGAACGCUAAUACCGCAUACGUCCUACGGGAGAAAGCAGGGGACCUUCGGGCCUUGCGCUAAUAGAUGAGCCUAAGUCGGAUUAGCUAGUUGGUGGGGUAAAGGCCUACCAAGGCGACGAUCUGUAGCGGGUCUGAGAGGAUGAUCCGCCACACUGGGACUGAGACACGGCCCAGACUCCUACGGGAGGCAGCAGUGGGGAAUAUUGGACAAUGGGGGGAACCCUGAUCCAGCCAUGCCGCGUGUGUGAAGAAGGCCUUUUGGUUGUAAAGCACUUUAAGCGGGGAGGAGGCUACUUACAUUAAUACUCUAGGAUAGUGGACGUUACCCGCANAAUAAGCACCGGCUAACUCUGUGCCUGCAGCCGCGGUAAUACAGAGGGUGCKAGCGUUAAUCGGAUUUACUGGGCGUAAAGCGUGC
This 512-nucleotide ribosomal RNA is filed under the name Acinetobacter sp. WTPin_46. RNAcentral's name for it is "bacterial SSU rRNA". It matches the Rfam family "Bacterial small subunit ribosomal RNA", at positions 64 to 570 of the family's 1533-position model. Lineage: Bacteria; Pseudomonadati; Pseudomonadota; Gammaproteobacteria; Moraxellales; Moraxellaceae. The record is from RNAcentral.